CCAACAUCUGUGGAAUUUAGUAUUGCCAGAAUUUCAAAAUGGUUAAGUAUGUCUUUGGCAGACAAAACCUGGCAUGCUUACAUCGCAAGCUGGAAUGAGUGGAUGAAGUUCAAAACAAGUUUUCCCAAAGAUCAUUAUCAAGGGGACAGUGACGUCUUAUUGUCUUUUGUACUGGAGCAAGUUGAGGCUCAGUACUCUCUUUCAGCUAUAACAAAAAAGUUAGCAGGCAUAUCCUUCUUUUUAAAGGUUCAAGGUGAGGCAGACAUAACUAAAUCCUUUUUGGUCAAACAAAUCCUUCGGGGUGUUGGUAGGAUUACACAAUCUGUUGACAUUAGGAGACCCAUCACAUUAUCAUUGUUGAAAGAUUUAGUUUCGGUCCUACCUCAAAUAUGCUAUUCUCAGUUUGAAGCAAUGUUAUUUACUUUGUUAUUUUCGGUGUCUUUCUUUGGUGCCCUUCGGGUAAGUGAGUCGGUCUCUCAUAGUAAGAGAUCCCCAGGGGGUAUUGGGAGUGAAGACAUUCAUCUGGUUGAGGGCAAAUUAAAAAUUAUAUUAAAAAAAUCAAAAACGGAUAAAGUGGGAAGAGGGACAACCCUUUGGCUUGGUAAUAGCACGGAACAGUCAAUAUGCCCAGUAUUAGCUUUUAGCCAUUAUCAGCAAGUCAGACCCUGCCUUCCUGGCCCUUUCUUUAUACACAGUGAUGGCUCUUUUGUUACAAGAUUUAAAUUUGUGAAAAUUCUAAAAGGAGCUGUCAGUAAGUUAGGUAUACCACCUGACCAUUAUAACACACAUUCUUUCCGCAUUGGAGCUGCCACACAAGCCUCAUUGAUGGGUUUAGGAGAAGAGUUCAUCAAAAGGCUUGGCAGAUGGAACUCUUCUAGGUAUCAACUUUAUGUUAGACCUACCCUUGUUUAGUAAGUCUUAUCUUUUUUCGUUACAGUUUCUCCUCCUUUGGUCUGGAUUAUUGGACACUCUUUUGUCCACAGAGCAAGAGCUAUAGCAGAACAGCGAACCUACACAACUAAUUUAGGUAUUAAAGAUGUUAGAAUUGUUUGGAUGGGCAUUCGAGGCCUUAAAUGGCCAGAUUUAUUGCCAAUAAUUUUGCAAAUGAAAUCUCGUUGGGGUUUCCCAGCAAUUAUUCUGAUCCAUCUAGCUGGAAAUGACAUUGGAAAGGGUAGAAACAUUGAUUUAAUUCGUAAUAUAAAAAGAGACCUUGCUCAGAUCAGAUUUAUUUUUCCCAAUACUGUGAUAAUUUGGUCGGAAGUUGUGCCCAGAUUAGUCUGGCUUCAAGAUGCAGGCUUUCACCCCCUUGAGAGAUGCCGUAAAAAACUUAAUUUUGCUAUCUCAAAAUUUUCCAAGACAGUUAAUAUUUUGGUUUAUAGGCACUACGAGUUGGAACAAGGUUUUGAAGGCCUGUAUCACGCGGACAGGGUAAAUUUGUCAGAUAUCGGUUUUGACAUUCUGAACAUGGGAUUCCAAAGUGCAAUAGAGAGAGCUUUACAUGUGUGGGGAAUGGCCAAGGCCAAUGUAAUGGUUUAAUUGGCCUUGACGUGGAGGUAUGCUCCUGGCUAGGUGGUAAAUUGGCGGGGCUUAAGGAUAUUUGUUGUUAAUCUUUAAGGCGGUCCGCUGCAGAGAUCUGAUGCAGAGGCUGGCUGGGAAUAUAUGUAUGAGCAGGUAUUAGUAUCAUUAGCAAUGGUUAA
Long non-coding RNA from Xenopus laevis (African clawed frog), 1697 nucleotides. RefSeq lists it as uncharacterized. The transcript is spliced from 2 exons. The record is from RefSeq and is a predicted model, not a curated record. Lineage: Eukaryota; Metazoa; Chordata; Amphibia; Anura; Pipidae.